This is a long non-coding RNA of Zalophus californianus (California sea lion), 2794 nucleotides long. RefSeq lists it as uncharacterized. NCBI's taxonomy places the organism in Eukaryota, Metazoa, Chordata, Mammalia, Carnivora, Otariidae. The record is from RefSeq and is a predicted model, not a curated record. The transcript has 3 exons.
GGGAGAAGCAGGCUUCCCGCUGAGCAGGGAGCCCGAUGCGGGGCUCGAUCCCAGGACCCCGGGGUCAUGACCUGAGCCGAAGGCAGAUGCUUAACGACUGAGCCACCCAGGCGCCCCUAAAGCCAACCUAUUCUGAGCCCUGCUUCCUCAGGGCUCUGCUGGGCAACUGAAAAAUCUAACCCACAUGAAGAACUGACAGACGACUUCAGCUGAAUGCCAGUUCUGGUCCAAAGGACGUGCCCAUUUUGGUGGCCCAAAGCUUCAUGAGGACAAAGAGUGUGGGAGCCCAGAGAACUGAGAGCAGCCUUUUCAGGAAGACCCACUGGCUUGGGGUGAUCCCUGAUGAAGAUACAGUGGUGAUCCCUGAAGUCAAGCCACCUGUCCAGCUCACAGCCCGCGCACCCAUUCUUCCCGGUAGAACUCUUCUCAGAAAGGCGGGGAAGGAAGACUUAUCAGACCUUCGGAGGAGUUGGCUGGAAAGGUCCGACUGCCGAUACCCCGAAGAUUCUCCCAGCAGUAUGUGCCUCUCCGAGAAGUAAAGAGCAAGCCGCUGAACUCGAGCUGCCUUCCCAGAGCUAGCACGGCUGGGGCUGUCCCUAAGGUGGUGGGAACUCCUGUGGGCCUCUUAUUUUCCUCUCACGGGCAUCGUUCUCUGCCCCCACGUAUGUAAUGGGGACAGUGGGGGGAUUCCCCCAAACCGUGAUGGUGUUCCGUUCAAAAACAUUUGCCUGGAGGUCCGCUGCUGGGUGACUCACACACUGGUGAGGUGGCAGGAAAAUUCACAGCUGCUGGUCGGAAGUGCCUGACCCAAACAAAAGAGGAUGCUCUGAGGGUGGCCAGGCUUAGUAAAUAAAAAUACAGGAUGCCCAGUUACAUUUGAUUUUCAGAUCAACAACAACGUUUGGGAUAGCCUUAUACUAAAAAAAAAAAAACAUGUUGUUGAUCUGAAAUUCAAAUGUAACUGGGCAUCCUGUUUUGUAUCUGGCAACACUAGACACAAAGCACCUGGGACAAACCUCCCCCUCCCCCCCCCUCCCCCCCCCCCCCCCCCCCCCCCCCCCGCACCUUCCCCAGGGUCCCAGCGGGGUGCUGUUGAGAGUAAGCAACACCACAGCUGCGAGAAGACCACUGGCCUGGGAUGAAAGCAAACCCGGGACUUGCAAUGGUCAGAGAAGGGUGGGAACACUCUGCUUCAAGGGUUCCUCCUGAGGAAUCGCCAAACCUCAAUCUCAACCUAGGGCAGAGUUCUGCAUUCAAAUUCCACAAAAGGGCAUGGGGGCUCCUGAAGGAGACUCUCCUUUCUCUGGACUCCAGUUUUCUCGUCUCUGUAGUGGGGGGAGGUUUGGAUUCUAUGAUGGCUGCGGACUUCCUAGCCCUUGGCUUUUCCAACCCAGGGGAAAUCUGCUGGAAGCAAGAGAAGGUGCAAGCUCGCCAAGGAGCAAGUUUAAGAAGGAGGAAGAGGCCAGCUCUGCCGGGAACAGAGUGGUCCUCUUACCUUACAGCUCUGAAAGGGGGUUGGGGCUUUGCAAACGGACAUUGGGUGCUUGGGGGGCUCCUCUUGGGUCAGGCACAGCCCGUGCACGCCGGACCUCCUUGGAAAAGGCCCCAGGUACCACCCACAGCUGUGUCCAUCGCUGUGGCGCCCAGGACCAGCCAGAUUUUCAAACAUCCAUGGAAACACUUGAGCCACAGUUUUCUGUUGAUCAGAAAUUUCAGAAGGACUGAGCUGGACGGUUCUCACUUGAGGUCUCACACGAGGCCACAGUCAGAUGUUGGCUGGGGCUGCUGUCAUCUGAAGACUCAACUGGGAUCAGAGGAUCCACUUCUAAGGUUACUCACCCAUGUUUAACGGGCAAGGUGGUGCUGGCUGAAGGCUCGAAGCCUCAGUUCUUCUCUGCAUGGACCUUCCUAAGGAGCUGCAUGAGUGUCCUCCUGAGAAGAUGGCUGAUUUUCACAAUGUGUUUAUCCAAGAGGCCAAGGUAGAAGCUACAGUCCCUUGAAAGUCACACAUCUUCAUUUCCACUGUAUUCUAUUGGUUGUGGCAACUACAUAGGUUUGUCAGGUUCAUAGGUUUGUCAGGUUCAAGGGGAGGGAAUAGACCCUGCCCUUCAAUGCAGGAGUGCUAACAUCACAUUGUAGGAAGAGCAUGGGAAAUGAGUUAUAUCAGUGUUUCCAUCUUUAUAUAUUAUUUUUUAGAAGAUUUAUUUAUUCAUUAGAGAGAGAGAGAGAGAAUGAGCAUGAGCGGGGUGGGGGAGAGGCAGAGGGAGAGGGAGAAGCAGGCUCCCCGCUGAGCAGGGACCCCCCCCCGACCCAGGGCUCAACCCCAGAACCCCGAGAUCAUGACCUGAGCCGAAGGCAGAUGCUUACCCAUCUGAACCACCCAGAUGCCCCAGCGCUUCUUUAGAAAAUUUAAUCUGCCAUAUGCCAUUUCCAAUAUUUUGCUAUUAUGAAAACAUGUUGGUAACUACAACUUAAAGACUUCUGAUAUGUAUUACCAGAUUCCCUCUAGAAAGUUGUACCAAUUUAGACUCCCACCAGUGUUUGAGAAAGUCCAUUUCUCUACAUCCUUAUUACAACUAAGCUUAUCUUUUAAAAAUCUUUGCCAGUUUGAUACGCAAGAAAUGGUAUCUCAUUGCUGUAAAAAAAUUCCUACUAGGAAAGUGGAAGACCUAAAUUUAAGUAUCACUAUUUGUUGGGGCUGCCAUAACAAAAUACCACAAACUGAGUUAUUUAAACCACAUAAAUUUAUUUUCUUGGGGUGCCUGGGUGGCUCAGUCGGUUGGAUGUCUGCCUU